Molecule: non-coding RNA, 195 nt
Organism: Oxytricha trifallax
Lineage: Eukaryota; Ciliophora; Spirotrichea; Sporadotrichida; Oxytrichidae
Source: Rfam
AUACCUUCUCGGCCUUUUGGCUAAGAUCAAGUGUAGUAUCUGUUCUUAUCAGUGUGAAAACUGAUAACGUCUCUACGGAGGCGCUAUUUUCACAUCAAUUUCUUAGGGGUGUGAGUUAGCUGGUGCGCUAGCGUACCACUCUCUCUUACGGAGUCGCCUUGGAUCACCACUUUCUCCGAUGGUGGCUCACCCGUA